UUAAGCGACCAAGCGUACACGGUGGAUGCCCUGGCAGUCAGAGGCGAUGAAGGACGUGCUAAUCUGCGAAAAGCGCCGGUAAGGUGAUAUGAACCGUUAUAACCGGCGAUGUCCGAAUGGGGAAACCCAGUGUGACUCGUCACACUAUCAUUAACUGAAUCCAUAGGUUAAUGAGGCGAACCGGGGGAACUGAAACAUCUAAGUACCCCGAGGAAAAGAAAUCAACCGAGAUUCCCCCAGUAGCGGCGAGCGAACGGGGAGGAGCCCAGAGCCUGAAUCAGCAUGUGUGUUAGUGGAAGCGUCUGGAAAGGCGCGCGAUACAGGGUGACAGCCCCGUACACAAAAGCGCAUGUGCUGUGAGCUCGAUGAGUAGGGCGGGACACGUGGUAUCCUGUCUGAAUAUGGGGGGACCAUCCUCCAAGGCUAAAUACUCCUGACUGACCGAUAGUGAACCAGUACCGUGAGGGAAAGGCGAAAAGAACCCCGGCGAGGGGAGUGAAAAAGAACCUGAAACCGUGUACGUACAAGCAGUGGGAGCCCCACCACUAAGCCAGUGGUGAAUUCCACAUACGCAUCCUUUGCUGAGGAUACGGUUAACGGAGCGAAAGCGACGUUCAACCGCAAAACAAGCAGAGGGGGCUUAGUGGUGGGGUGACUGCGUACCUUUUGUAUAAUGGGUCAGCGACUUAUAUUCUGUAGCAAGGUUAACCGAAUAGGGGAGCCGGAGGGAAACCGAGUCUUAACCGGGCGUUAAGUUGCAGGGUAUAGACCCGAAACCCGGUGAUCUAGCCAUGGGCAGGUUGAAGGUUGGGUAACACUAACUGGAGGACCGAACCGACUAAUGUUGAAAAAUUAGCGGAUGACCUGUGGCUGGGGGUGAAAGGCCAAUCAAACCGGGAGAUAGCUGGUUCUCCCCGAAAGCUAUUUAGGUAGCGCCUCGUGAAUUCAUCUCCGGGGGUAGAGCACUGUUUCGGCCAGGGGGCCAUCCCGGCUUACCAACCCGAUGCAAACUGCGAAUACCGGAGAAUGUUAUCACGGGAGACACACGGCGGGUGCUAACGUCCGUCGUGAAGAGGGAAACAACCCAGACCGCCAGCUAAGGUCCCAAAGUCAUGGUUAAGUGGGAAACGAUGUGGGAAGGCCCAGACAGCCAGGAUGUUGGCUUAGAAGCAGCCAUCAUUUAAAGAAAGCGUAAUAGCUCACUGGUCGAGUCGGCCUGCGCGGAAGAUGUAACGGGGCUAAACCAUGCACCGAAGCUGCGGCAGCGACACUAAGUGUUGUUGGGUAGGGGAGCGUUCUGUAAGCCUGCGAAGGUGGCCUGUGAGGGUUGCUGGAGGUAUCAGAAGUGCGAAUGCUGACAUAAGUAACGAUAAUGCGGGUGAAAAACCCGCACGCCGGAAGACCAAGGGUUCCUGUCCAACGUUAAUCGGGGCAGGGUGAGUCGACCCCUAAGGCGAGGCCGAAAGGCGUAGUCGAUGGGAAACAGGUUAAUAUUCCUGUACCUGGUGUUACUGCGAAGGGGGGACGGAGAAGGCUAUGUUGGCCGGGCGACGGUUGUCCCGGUUUAAGCGUGUAGGCUGGUUUUCCAGGCAAAUCCGGAAAAUCAAGGCUGAGGCGUGACGACGAGGCACUACGGUGCUGAAGCAACAAAUGCCCUGCUUCCAGGAAAAGCCUCUAAGCCUCAGGUAACAUCAGAUCGUACCCGAAACCGACACAGGUGGUCAGGUAGAGAAUACCAAGGCGCUUGAGAGAACCCGGGUGAAGGAACUAGGCAAAAUGGUGCCGUAACUUCGGGAGAAGGCACGCUGACACGUAGGUGAAGCGGUUUACCCGUGGAGCUGAAGUCAGUCGAAGAUACCAGCUGGCUGCAACUGUUUAUUAAAAACACAGCACUGUGCAAACACGAAAGUGGACGUAUACGGUGUGACGCCUGCCCGGUGCCGGAAGGUUAAUUGAUGGGGUCAGCGCAAGCGAAGCUCCUGAUCGAAGCCCCGGUAAACGGCGGCCGUAACUAUAACGGUCCUAAGGUAGCGAAAUUCCUUGUCGGGUAAGUUCCGACCUGCACGAAUGGCGUAAUGAUGGCCAGGCUGUCUCCACCCGGGACUCAGUGAAAUUGAACUCGCUGUGAAGAUGCAGUGUACCCGCGGCAAGACGGAAAGACCCCGUGAACCUUUACUAUAGCUUGACACUGAACACUGGUCCUUGAUGUGCAGGAUAGGUGGGAGGCUUUGAAGUGUGGACGCCAGUCUGCAUGGAGCCGUCCUUGAAAUACCACCCUUUAAUGGCUGGUGUUCUAACGUAGACCCGUGAACCGGGUUGCGGACAGUGUCUGGUGGGUAGUUUGACUGGGGCGGUCUCCUCCUAAAGCGUAACGGAGGAGCACGAAGGUUGGCUAAUCCUGGUCGGACAUCAGGAGGUUAGUGCAAUGGCAUAAGCCAGCUUGACUGCGAGCGUGACGGCGCGAGCAGGUGCGAAAGCAGGUCAUAGUGAUCCGGUGGUUCUGAAUGGAAGGGCCAUCGCUCAACGGAUAAAAGGUACUCCGGGGAUAACAGGCUGAUACCGCCCAAGAGUUCAUAUCGACGGCGGUGUUUGGCACCUCGAUGUCGGCUCAUCACAUCCUGGGGCUGAAGUAGGUCCCAAGGGUAUGGCUGUUCGCCAUUUAAAGUGGUACGCGAGCUGGGUUUAGAACGUCGUGAGACAGUUCGGUCCCUAUCUGCCGUGGGCGCUGGAGAACUGAGGGGGGCUGCUCCUAGUACGAGAGGACCGGAGUGGACGCAUCACUGGUGUUCGGGUUGUCAUGCCAAUGGCACUGCCCGGUAGCUAAAUGCGGAAGAGAUAAGUGCUGAAAGCAUCUAAGCACGAAACUUGCCCCGAGAUGAGUUCUCCCUGAGACUACAAGUCUCCUGAAGGAACGUUGAAGACGACGACGUUGAUAGGCCGGGUGUGUAAGCGCAGCGAUGCGUUGAGCUAACCGGUACUAAUGAACCGUGAGGCUUAACCUU
Molecule: ribosomal RNA, 3002 nt
Filed under: Salmonella enterica subsp. arizonae
Lineage: Bacteria; Pseudomonadati; Pseudomonadota; Gammaproteobacteria; Enterobacterales; Enterobacteriaceae
Description: bacterial LSU rRNA
Rfam family: Bacterial large subunit ribosomal RNA
Source: RNAcentral